This 2092-nucleotide ribosomal RNA is filed under the name marine metagenome. RNAcentral describes it as "bacterial LSU rRNA". It matches the Rfam family "Bacterial large subunit ribosomal RNA", at positions 40 to 2298 of the family's 2925-position model. The record is from RNAcentral.
UAAGAGACGAUGAAGGACGUGGCAGGCUGCGAUAAGCUAAGGGGAGUUGUCAACAAACUUUGAUCCUUAGAUAUCCGAAUGGGGAAACCCAACUCUUUAGAGUUAUUUAUUAAUGAAUACAUAGUUAAUAAAAGUUAACCUAGUGAAUUGAAAUAUCUUAGUAGCUAGAGGAAAAGAAAUCUAUUCCGUUAGUAGUGACGAGCGAACGCGGACCAGGCCAGUAACAAAUUUAUAAUAACUAGAACUUUCUGGAAAGUAAGACCAUAGUGGGUGAUAGUCCCUUAUAGGUAAAAAGUAAAUUUGUUCUCGAGUAGGGCGGAACACGUGAAAUUUUGUCUGAAAAUGGGGAGACCACUUCCCAAGCCUAAAUACUCCUUAAUGACCGAUAGUGAACCAGUACCGUGAGGGAAAGAUGAAAAGCACCCCGAUAGGGGGAAUGAAAUAGUAUCUGAAACCGAAUGCCUACAAGCAGUCAGAGCUUCCUUGAGAAGUGAUGGCAUACCUUUUGUAUAAUGGGUCAGCGACUUAGUCUGUGCAGCAAGCUUAAGCCGUAAGGUGUAGGCGUAGGGAAACCAAGUCUUAAUAGGGCGUUAGUUGUACGGAUUAGACUCGAAGCGGGAUGAGCUUAAUAUGAGCAGGUUGAAGAUGCAGUAACAUGCAUCGGAGGACCGAACCAGGAAACGUUGAAAUGUUUUUGGAUGACUUGUGUUAAGGGGUGAAAGGCCAACCAAAUUCCGCUAUAGCUAGUUCUCCGCGAAAACUAUUUAGGUAGUGCGUUGUGUGAAUGAUAUCGGGGGUAAAGCACUGGAUGGGCUAGGGGGAAGCGAUUCCUACCAAACCUAACCAAACUCUGAAUACCGAUACUCUAUGCACAGCAGACAGACUAUAGGUGCUAAGGUCUAUAGUCGAGAGGGAAACAGCCCAGAUCACCAGUUAAGGCCCCCAAAUAAUGGCUAAGUGGGAAAGUAUGUAGAAAGUCCAAGACAGGCAGGAGGUUGGCUUAGAAGCAGCCAUCCUUUAAAGAUAGCGUAACAGCUCACUGUUCUAAUUAAGACUUUCCGCGACGAAGAUGUAACGGGGCUCAAGCCAUUUGCCGAAACUGUGACUUUAUAAAUAUUGCGAUAUUUAUAAGGGGUAGCGGAGCGUUCUGUAAGCCGUUGAAGGUGUUUUGAAAAAAAUGCUGGAGGUAUCAGAAGUGCGAAUGCUGACAUGAGUAGCGAUAAAGAGUGUGAGAGACACUCUCGCCGAAAUCCUAAGGUUUCCUGCGUAAAGCUAAUCUGCGCAGGGUUAGUCGACCCCUAAGGCGAGGCAGAAAUGCGUAGUCGAUGGGAAACAGGUUAAUAUUCCUGUACCUUCUGUGAGUUGACGGAUCACGUAAAUAGUACUUUCUUAUUGGAUUGAGAGUGCUGUGAAGUGGUUCCUGGAAAUAGCCACAGAGUAUAGAUCGUACCAAAACCGACACAGGUAGGAAGGUAGAGUAUACCAAGGCGCUUGAGAGAAUGAUGUUGAAGGAACUCGGCAAAAUGCCCUUGUAACUUCGGAAUAAGAGGGACCAAUUUUUAGGCAACUAAGGAUUGGUGGCACAGAAUAGGGAGAAGCGACUGUUUAUCAAAAACACAGGUCUCUGCUAAGUCGUAAGACGAUGUAUAGGGACUGACGCCUGCCCGGUGCCGGAAGGUUAAAUGGUGGAGUGCAAGCUCUAAAAUGAAGCCCCGGUGAACGGCGGCCGUAACUAUAACGGUCCUAAGGUAGCGAAAUUCCUUGUCAGGUAAGUUCUGACCCGCAUGAAUGGCGUAACGAUUUCUCCGCUGUCUCCAACAUCAACUCAGCGAAAUUGAAUUCUCCGUGAAGAUGCGGAGUACGUGUAGUUAGACGGAAAGACCCCGUGCACCUUUACUAUAGCUUUACAGUGGUAUUAGGAAAAUAAUGUGUAGGCUAGGUGGUAGACUUUGAAGCGAAGGCGCUAGCUUUUGUGGAGUCAAAAGAUGAAACACCACCCUUUAUUUUUUUGAUAUCUAACCAUCAUCCAUUAUCUGGAUGUGGGACCCUGUAUGGUGGGUAGUUUGACUGGGGCGGUCGCCUCCUAAAGAGU